Molecule: ribosomal RNA, 1374 nt
Filed under: uncultured bacterium
Lineage: Bacteria
Description: bacterial SSU rRNA
Rfam family: Bacterial small subunit ribosomal RNA
Source: RNAcentral
AUUGAACGCUGGCGGCAGGCCUAACACAUGCAAGUCGAGCGGAAACGGGUUAUCUGAACCUUCGGGGAACGAUAACGGCGUCGAGCGGCGGACGGGUGAGUAAUGCCUAGGAAAUUGCCCUGAUGUGGGGGAUAACCAUUGGAAACGAUGGCUAAUACCGCAUGAUGCCUACGGGCCAAAGAGGGGGACCUUCGGGCCUCUCGCGUCAGGAUAUGCCUAGGUGGGAUUAGCUAGUUGGUGAGGUAAGGGCUCACCAAGGCGACGAUCCCUAGCUGGUCUGAGAGGAUGAUCAGCCACACUGGAACUGAGACACGGUCCAGACUCCUACGGGAGGCAGCAGUGGGGAAUAUUGCACAAUGGGCGCAAGCCUGAUGCAGCCAUGCCGCGUGUGUGAAGAAGGCCUUCGGGUUGUAAAGCACUUUCAGUCGUGAGGAAGGUAGUGUAGUUAAUAGCUGCAUUAUUUGACGUUAGCGACAGAAGAAGCACCGGCUAACUCCGUGCCAGCAGCCGCGGUAAUACGGAGGGUGCGAGCGUUAAUCGGAAUUACUGGGCGUAAAGCGCAUGCAGGUGGUUUGUUAAGUCAGAUGUGAAAGCCCGGGGCUCAACCUCGGAAUAGCAUUUGAAACUGGCAGACUAGAGUACUGUAGAGGGGGGUAGAAUUUCAGGUGUAGCGGUGAAAUGCGUAGAGAUCUGAAGGAAUACCGGUGGCGAAGGCGGCCCCCUGGACAGAUACUGACACUCAGAUGCGAAAGCGUGGGGAGCAAACAGGAUUAGAUACCCUGGUAGUCCACGCCGUAAACGAUGUCUACUUGGAGGUUGUGGCCUUGAGCCGUGGCUUUCGGAGCUAACGCGUUAAGUAGACCGCCUGGGGAGUACGGUCGCAAGAUUAAAACUCAAAUGAAUUGACGGGGGCCCGCACAAGCGGUGGAGCAUGUGGUUUAAUUUGAUGCAACGCGAAGAACCUUACCUACUCUUGACAUCCAGAGAACUUUCCAGAGAUGGAUUGGUGCCUUCGGGAACUCUGAGACAGGUGCUGCAUGGCUGUCGUCAGCUCGUGUUGUGAAAUGUUGGGUUAAGUCCCGCAACGAGCGCAACCCUUAUCCUUGUUUGCCAGCGAGUAAUGUCGGGAACUCCAGGGAGACUGCCGGUGAUAAACCGGAGGAAGGUGGGGACGACGUCAAGUCAUCAUGGCCCUUACGAGUAGGGCUACACACGUGCUACAAUGGCGCAUACAGAGGGCGGCCAACUUGCGAAAGUGAGCGAAUCCCAAAAAGUGCGUCGUAGUCCGGAUUGGAGUCUGCAACUCGACUCCAUGAAGUCGGAAUCGCUAGUAAUCGUGGAUCAGAAUGCCACGGUGAAUACGUUCCCGGGCCU